RNAcentral lists this ribosomal RNA (837 nucleotides) under uncultured eukaryote. Its description in RNAcentral is "SSU rRNA". It matches the Rfam family "Eukaryotic small subunit ribosomal RNA", at positions 615 to 1479 of the family's 1831-position model. The record is from RNAcentral.
GCGGUUAGACGCUCGUAGUCGAAUGUUUGUUCAAGCCUAACGGUCCUCCCUAGUGGUGCGUACUCAGUUCGGUCUGGGCACCUCUCUGGUACAAGCGUUUGCAGUUAAUUCUGUUGCGCAUUGUCCAGAACUUUUACUUUGAGGAAAUGAGAGUGCUUCAAGCAAAUGUAUGUUAUGAAUACGUUAGCAUGGAAUAAUCGCAUGGGACAUCAUCCUGAAUCUGUUGGUUUUCGGGUAGAUGUAAUGAAGGUGGGGAUAGUUGGGGGCAUUCGUAUUUAACUGUUAGAGGUGAAAUUCUUGGAUUUUUUAAAGAUGGACUACUGCGAAAGCAUCUGCCAAAGAUGUUUUUGUCGAUCAAGAACGAAAGUUAGGGGAUCGAAGACGAUCAGAUACCGUCCUAGUCUUAACCAUAAACUAUGCCCACUAGGGAUUGGGGUCAUCAGACUCUUGAUGUCUUCAGCAUCUUCAGAGAAAUCAAAGUCUUUGGGUUCCGGGGGGAGUAUGGUCACAAGGCUGAAACUUAAAGGAAUUGACGGAAGGGCACCACCAGGAGUGGAGCCUGCGGCUUAAUUUGACUCAACACGGGAUAACUCACCAGGUCCAGACUUAGAAAGGAUUGACAGACUGAUAGCUCUUUCUUGAUUCUAUGGGUGGUGGUGCAUGGCCGUUCUUAGUUGGUGGAGUGAUUUGUCUGGUUAAUUUCGUUAACGAACGAGACCUUAUCCUGCUAAGUAGUACCAAAAACAACGCAGUUUGAAAGUGAUCUUCUUAGAGGGACUUUGUGUGUUUAGCACGAGGAAGUGUGAGGCAAUAACAGGUCUGUGAUGCCCUUAGAUG